UCGAAGGACGAACGCUGGCGGCGUGCCUAAUACAUGCAAGUUGAACGCUUGAUUUCACCGAAGCUUGCUUACACCGAAAAUCAAGAGUAGCGAACGGGUGAGUAACGCGUGGGUAACCUACCUAUCAGCGGGGGAUAACUAUUGGAAACGAUAGCUAAUACCGCAUAACAAUGUUGGAUGCAUAUUCGACAUUUGAAAGUACCAACUGGUACACUGAGAGAUGGACCCGCGUUGUAUUAGCUAGUUGGUAGUGUAAUGGACUACCAAGGCGAUGAUACAUAGCCGACCUGAGAGGGUGAUCGGCCACAUUGGGACUGAGACACGGCCCAAACUCCUACGGGAGGCAGCAGUAGGGAAUCUUCGGCAAUGGACGAAAGUCUGACCGAGCAACGCCGCGUGAGUGAAGAAGGUUUUCGGAUCGUAAAACUCUGUUGUUGGAGAAGAACGUUGCAUAGAGUGGAAAAUUAUGCAAGUGACGGUAUCUAACCAGAAAGGGACGGCUAACUACGUG
RNAcentral lists this ribosomal RNA (511 nucleotides) under uncultured bacterium. RNAcentral's name for it is "bacterial SSU rRNA". It matches the Rfam family "Bacterial small subunit ribosomal RNA", at positions 26 to 507 of the family's 1533-position model. The record is from RNAcentral.